Canis lupus familiaris (dog) is the source of this 949-nucleotide long non-coding RNA. RefSeq lists it as uncharacterized. The transcript has 3 exons. Lineage: Eukaryota; Metazoa; Chordata; Mammalia; Carnivora; Canidae. The record is from RefSeq and is a predicted model, not a curated record.
AUUGUGAGUGAGUCGUGUGUCUUUGGUGAUCCAGCUUGCAGAGGUAGCAGCCAAAGCCUGCUGCAGGGGAAAAAAAAAAUAACAGGAGGCGAGAGGGACCCAGCUCUUGCUGGGUGUGCGGCUGACGGCAACACAGAAAGGAAGAGAAAAAGAGGAAGGCGCUCGAAGGCGAAGGAAGGGACCCGGGGUGGAAGAGCAAGAGGGAGCAAUAGCAAGAAACACCAAGUGGCGAUGGGCGUCUGGGUCCCGGGAUCUCGGUGGCUUGGAGGAGAGCCCCAUCCUGGUGUGCUGCUCUGUGCCUCACGCAGCGGACUCCCUCUGCUCGGGGACUGAGACGUGACUCACGGUUUUGGUAUCUCCUACGUAAGAGCUUUGGGGGGAUUCCUUGGCUUGCUGACAACGGAAGGAAGAAAGCAGCACCAGGGAGGUAAAACACGAUUGCUUCCAACUGCCUUGCGGAGGAUACGCAGUCGCUUGGUUUGGCUGGAACAGCUUGCUGCUCUCUGAUGGCACGCGGAGGGAGAAUAAUUAAAAAAGCCAGCAUCACUUACUAAAACUCUACAUCUCAAGUGGGUAGGAAAAAAAGAUAGAAAUCCCCAGAAGAGAGAUCCUGCAUAUAGUUUGGAAGUUUUCCCAUGGCACCUGAAAUAACCUCAGCAGGAAGAGACACCUCAGCAAAUGGUCACGGAAUACCCAUGACUAUUUUAUGCCUCGAGGGUUUCAUACAACGUUCCCACCUCUUGGAUGUUCACCUCUACUUCUGUCAUUUGGUCAACUCUUUCACCGUCAAGAUUCUGUUCCAGCAAGAAGCAUUACCCUCUGCCCCAAACCGCCACAAUAGGUUAUGUGCUGUCACAAACCCCCUACCCCGGCCUCCUGUCUCACAGCAUUUUUUCCACUGGCACAAUAAUCAGGUUCUUCUCUUUGGACUAUGAGACCCUGGAAGGUA